UAACGGUCAGCCCCCCACCCCACGGCAGAUCCGAGGCGGGGCCGGAUGCGGGAGCAGCGUUGCGGGAACUCGACGAAACGCGAGGUGUUUUCGAGGACCUGCUUUUGCUUUUCUACAGGAUGUUGGGAUUUUUGAAGCACCCCGUCGUGGUGACGGCUGACAUCAACUUGAACGUUGUGGCUCUGACUGCAAUGGGGUUACUGAGCCGCCUGUGGCAGCUCUCCUAUCCAAGGGCUGUGGUUUUCGAUGAAGUGUAUUAUGGGCAGUACAUCUCUUUUUACAUGAAGCGGAUCUUCUUUUUGGAUGGCAGUGGACCACCAUUUGGCCACAUGCUGCUGGCACUGGGAGGUUAUUUAGGAGGAUUCGAUGGUAACUUCUUGUGGAACAGAAUCGGAGCAGAAUACAGCAGCAACGUGCCCGUGUGGUCUCUGCGCCUGCUGCCCGCCCUCACGGGGGCCCUGUCGGUCCCCAUGGCCUACCAGAUCCUGUCGGAGCUUGGUUUUUCUCACUGUGCCGCCAUGGGGGCCGCCCUGCUGAUGCUCAUCGAGAACGCUCUCAUCACUCAGUCAAGGCUAAUGCUUUUGGAGUCCGUGUUAAUAUUCUUUAAUCUGUUGGCUGUGCUGUCCUACCUGAAGUUCUCCAACUCCCAAAAACAGAGGCCCUUCUCUCCGAGCUGGUGGUUUUGGCUGACGCUGACCGGAGUGGCCUGCUCCUGUGCCGUGGGCGUCAAAUACGUGGGUGUUUUCACGUACCUGCUCGUGCUUGCUGUCGCUGGCGUCCACGCCUGGCACCUGAUAGGAGACCGGAGUCUGUCAAACGUCUCUGUGCUCUGUCACCUGCUGGCCCGCGCGGCAGCUCUGUUGGUCGUCCCGGCCGCCAUGUACUUGCUGUUCUUUUACGUCCACCUGAGUCUGGUCUAUCGCUCUGGGCCCCACGAUCAAAUCAUGUCCAGUGCCUUCCAGGCCAGCUUGGAGGGAGGGCUGGCUCGGAUCACGCAGGGCCAGCCCCUGGAGGUGGCCUACGGUUCCCAGGUCACUCUGAAGAACGUUUUGGGCAAACCCGUGCCCUGCUGGCUUCAUUCCCACCAGAGCACCUACCCCAUGAUAUACGAGAACGGCCGAGGCAGCUCGCACCAGCAGCAGGUGACCUGUUACCCCUUCAAAGACGUCAACAACUGGUGGAUCGUAAAGGACCCUGGGAGGCACCAGCUGGUGGUGAGCAACCCUCCGAGGCCCGUGCGGCAUGGAGACGUGGUGCAGCUGGUGCACGGCAUGACCACGCGCUUCCUCAACACGCACGACGUCGCGGCACCCCUGAGCCCCCACUCGCAGGAGGUAUCCUGCUACGUCGACUACAACAUCUCCAUGCCUUCUCAGAACCUCUGGAGACUGGACAUCGUAAACAGAGACUCCGACGCGGGGGUUUGGAAGACCAUCUUGUCCGAGGUCCGCCUGGUGCACGUGAACACCUCCGCGGUCCUGAAGCUGAGCGGGGCACACCUCCCGGACUGGGGUUUCCGGCAGCUGGAGGUCGUCGGGGAGAAGCUGUCGCGGGGCUACCACGAGAGCACCGUGUGGAACGUGGAGGAGCACCGCUACGGCAAAAGCCAGGAGCAGAAGGAGAGAGAAGUGGAAUUGCACUCGCCCACGCAGAUGGACGUUCACAGGAACCUGAGCUUCCUGGCCAGGUUCCUGGAGCUGCAGUGGAGAAUGCUGACGGCCAAGAGCGACGGCUCGGAGCACAAGUACAGCUCGUCGCCACUGGACUGGGUCACACUGGACACCAGCAUCGCGUACUGGCUGCACCCCAGGACCAGCGCUCAGAUCCACCUGCUUGGGAACGUCGUGAUCUGGGCUUCGGCCAGCCUCGCCACCGUGGCCUACACUCUGCUCCUCUUCUGGUACCUGCUUAGACGCCGAAGAAAGAUCUGUGACCUCCCUGAGGAGACAAAAAUGUCGCGGUUGACUUCCCCAGUUGUGCCAGAGGCUUCUCCGGGGAAGUAUUCCUGGCUGCGCUGGGUGCUGGCGGGGGCUCUGUGUGCCGGCGGCUGGGCGGUGAACUACGUCCCCUUCUUCCUGAUGGAGAAGACGCUCUUCCUGUACCACUACCUGCCGGCGCUCACCUUCCAGAUCCUUCUGCUCCCCGUGGUCUUGCAGCACAUCAGCGACCACCUGUGCAGGACCCAGCUCCUGAGGAGCCUCUUCGGCGCCCUGCUUGUGGCGUGGUACUCCUGUGCCUGUCACGUGUUCAACACGCUGCGCCCGCUCACCUACGGGGACAAGUCACUCUCCCCCAGCGAACUGAAGGCCCUUCGCUGGAAGGACAGCUGGGACAUUUUGAUUCGCAAAUACUAGCAGGACACAAACACGGUGAAGGCGUUAAAGAACGCGGCCUUCUGGGUCCACUAACGCCCAAGAACCUCCCGAACCAGGCUAGUGUGGGACUCAUGCUGGAGGAGAAACAGGAAGGGAGCGAGGGUCGCGCCAGCCAAGGCCCCGGUCGCUCUCCCGAGCGCCCGCUGGACCUGCCCCUGGUGAGGUCUUGAGGAUGCGCUCCGAACACGGUGGUGUCACACAAGCCACCGAGUGAUAAGCCUUUGAAGAAGCAGAGGUGGGAUUCUGGCCACUGCAGUGAGGACCCUCACUGCCGCCGACUCUCAACCCCCCGCCCCUGCGGGGUUCGGCUGAGAAGGGGAGAAAAUAACCUGGACAAGACUGUCACACACACCUCAGAGAGCAGCCACGGAGCUCGGCCAAGCCCAACUGAGGUCCCAUCCGUGUCACUACACACAGUACUCGCUAGGAGGAAACCAGAAGUGCCCGUGCGGUUUAGCCGGUGGCAACGGCAAAGCGUCGCUUUUACAGGAACGGGGCCACUGGGGAGGGGAAGACAAAGCAGGACAACGUGGAGCCCGGGCAUCGUCUGUGCGGCCGCGGACUCUAGGUGCGUGCAGGGAGACGGGCUGCCUUUGGACGGUGUGCCCCGACUCGGGAAGGCCUGUCCGCAGAGCACGCGGGGCCCAGGUGGCUCCUGCAAGCGGGGAGGCCUGACCCCGAGUAGGACCGUGUGUGGACACGGCGGGCGCCAGCCUGCCUCCUGUCCCAACCCGCAGGGCCGGGGCCGGGGCUCGGGCCGGGGGAGCGGGGCCCGUCCCCUGCGGCCGAGGCUGGCUAACGAAAGCUUGUUCCCAGGGCUCCUUCCUCGACUCUGCCCUUGGCGCACGGGCCAGGAGGAAG
Molecule: RNA transcript, 3236 nt
Organism: Lynx canadensis (Canada lynx)
Lineage: Eukaryota; Metazoa; Chordata; Mammalia; Carnivora; Felidae
Gene: POMT1
Gene name: protein O-mannosyltransferase 1
Exons: 23
Source: RefSeq, a predicted model, not a curated record